This 253-nucleotide ribosomal RNA is filed under the name uncultured bacterium. Its description in RNAcentral is "partial 16S ribosomal RNA". It matches the Rfam family "Bacterial small subunit ribosomal RNA", at positions 524 to 776 of the family's 1533-position model. The record is from RNAcentral.
UACGGAGGGGGUUAGCGUUGUUCGGAAUGACUGGGCGUAAAGCGCGCGUAGGCGGAUCGGAAAGUUGGGGGUGAAAUCCCGGGGCUCAACCUCGGAAUGGCCUUCAAAACUCCUGGGCUUGAGUUCGAGAGAGGUGAGUGGAAUUCCGAGUGUAGAGGUGAAAUUCGUAGAUAUUCGGAGGAACACCAGUGGCGAAGGCGGCUCACUGGCUCGACACUGACGCUGAGGUGCGAAAGCGUGGGGAGCGAACAGG